CCUACGGGUGGCUGCAGUGGGGAAUAUUGGACAAUGGGCGAAAGCCUGAUCCAGCCAUGCCGCGUGUGUGAAGAAGGCCUUCGGGUUGUAAAGCACUUUCAGUGGGGAAGAAAGCCUUGGGGCUAAUACCCUCGAGGAAGGACAUCACCCACAGAAGAAGCACCGGCUAACUCCGUGCCAGCAGCCGCGGUAAUACGGAGGGUGCGAGCGUUAAUCGGAAUUACUGGGCGUAAAGCGCGCGUAGGCGGUCUGAUAAGCCGGUUGGGAAAGCCCCGGGCUCAACCUGGGAACGGCAUCCGGAACUGUCAGGCUAGAGUGCAGGAGAGGAAGGUAGAAUUCCCGGUGUAGCGGUGAAAUGCGUAGAGAUCGGGAGGAAUACCAGUGGCGAAGGCGGCCUUCUGGACUGACACUGACGCUGAGGUGCGAAAGCGUGGGUAGCAAACAGGAUUAGAUACCCGAGUAGUC
This 465-nucleotide ribosomal RNA is filed under the name Vreelandella stevensii. RNAcentral's name for it is "partial 16S ribosomal RNA". It matches the Rfam family "Bacterial small subunit ribosomal RNA", at positions 338 to 795 of the family's 1533-position model. Lineage: Bacteria; Pseudomonadati; Pseudomonadota; Gammaproteobacteria; Oceanospirillales; Halomonadaceae. The record is from RNAcentral.